RNAcentral lists this small nuclear RNA (311 nucleotides) under Castor canadensis (American beaver). RNAcentral describes it as "7SK RNA (ENSCCNG00000025604.1)". It matches the Rfam family "7SK RNA". From Rfam's summary of the family: 7SK was discovered as an abundant small nuclear RNA in the mid-70s but a possible function has only recently been suggested. The record is from Rfam by way of RNAcentral. Lineage: Eukaryota; Metazoa; Chordata; Mammalia; Rodentia; Castoridae.
GGAUGUGAGGGCGAUCUGGCUGCGACAUCUGUCACCCCAUUGAUCGCCAGGGUUGAUUCGGCUGAUCUGGCUGGCUAGGCGGGUGUCCCCUUCCUUCCUCACCACUCCAUGUGCGUCCCUCCCGAAGCUGCGCGCUCGGUCGAAGAGGACGACCAUCCCCGAUAGAGGAGGACCGUUCUUCGGUCAAGGGUAUACGAGUAGCUGCGCUCCCCUGCUAGAACCUCCAAACAAGCUCUCAAAUAGCCUAAGACCUUAUCUAAAAAACAAACUAAAUAAAAGGACUGGGGACAUGGGUCAAGUGGUAGAUGCUU